Molecule: ribosomal RNA, 433 nt
Filed under: uncultured bacterium
Lineage: Bacteria
Description: partial 16S ribosomal RNA
Rfam family: Bacterial small subunit ribosomal RNA
Source: RNAcentral
AACGAACGCUGGCGGCAUGCCUAACACAUGCGAGUCGAACGAGACCUUCGGGUCUAGUGGCGCACGGGUGCGUAACGCGUGGGAACCUGCCCUCAGGUUCGGAAUAACUCCCCGAAAGGGGUGCUAAUACCGGAUAAUGUCUUCGGACCAAAGAUUUAUCGCCUUUGGAUGGGCCCGCGUUGGAUUAGCUAGUUGGUAGGGUAAAAGCCUACCAAGGCGACGAUCCAUAGCUGGUCUGAGAGGAUGAUCAGCCACACUGGGACUGAGACACGGCCCAGACUACUACGGGAGGCAGCAGUGGGGAAUAUUGGACAAUGGGCGAAAGCCUGAUCCAGCAAUGCCGCGUGAGUGAUGAAGGCCUUAGGGUUGUAAAGCUCUUUUACCCGGGAUGAUAAUGACAGUACCGGGAGAAUAAGCGCCGGCUAACUCCGUG